UUACUUACCUGGCAGGGGAGAUACCGUGAUCAAGAAGGCGGUUCACCCAGGGCGAGGCUCAGCCAUUGCACUCCGGCUGUGCUGACCCCUGCGAAUUCCCCAAAUGUGGGAAUCUCGACUGCAUAAUUUCUGGUAGUGGGGGACUGCGUUCACGCUCUCCCCUG
This is a small nuclear RNA of 164 nucleotides. Its record names the gene U1. It matches the Rfam family "U1 spliceosomal RNA". From Rfam's summary of the family: U1 is a small nuclear RNA (snRNA) component of the spliceosome (involved in pre-mRNA splicing). Its 5' end forms complementary base pairs with the 5' splice junction, thus defining the 5' donor site of an intron. There are significant differences in sequence and secondary structure between metazoan and yeast U1 snRNAs, the latter being much longer (568 nucleotides as compared to 164 nucleotides in human). The record is from Ensembl.